Molecule: unclassified non-coding RNA, 318 nt
Filed under: uncultured fungus
Lineage: Eukaryota; Fungi
Description: partial contains small subunit ribosomal RNA, internal transcribed spacer 1, and 5.8S ribosomal RNA
Rfam family: Eukaryotic small subunit ribosomal RNA (bases 1-73)
Source: RNAcentral
UCAAACUUGGUCAUUUAGAGGAAGUAAAAGUCGUAACAAGGUUUCCGUAGGUGAACCUGCGGAAGGAUCAUUAACAAAUCCUUUUUGAUGUAUAUUGUUUUUUUAUUUACAUGUACAUUUCUAUUCCAUUUGUGGAAUGUGAUUUGCAUUGUAAAGACAAACAAUGAUAUACAACAUACGUUCCCAUGUACAAAUGAUUGUGUUUGUACAUGUCAACAUAUUUCUACGAAUCAUCUGAUUGUAUCAUUUAUAAAUUAAUCAUAAAUAAUGACUUUUAACAAUGGAUCUCUAGGCUCUUGCAUCGAUGAAGAACGCAGC